Molecule: ribosomal RNA, 867 nt
Filed under: uncultured archaeon
Lineage: Archaea
Description: bacterial SSU rRNA
Rfam family: Archaeal small subunit ribosomal RNA
Source: RNAcentral
CUCCGGUUGAUCCUGCCGGACCCGACUGCUAUCAGAGUGGGACUAAGCCAUGCGAGUCAACAUAGCAAUAUGUGGCAUACGGCUCAGUAACACGUAGUCAACAUGCCCAGGGGACGUGGAUAACCUCGGGAAACUGAGGAUAAACCGCGAUAAGUCACUACUUCUGGAAUGGGUAAUGACUCAAAUCUACAUGGCCCCUGGAUUGGACUGCGGCCGAUCAGGCUGUUGGUGAGGUAAUGGCCCACCAAACCUGUAACCGGUACGGGCUCUGAGAGGAGGAGCCCGGAGAUGGGCACUGAGACAAGGGCCCAGGCCCUAUGGGGCGCAGCAGGCGCGAAACCUCUGCAAUAGGCGAAAGCCUGACAGGGUUACUCUGAGUGAUUUCCGUUAAGGAGAUCUUUUGGCACCUCUAAAAAUGGUGCAGAAUAAGGGGUGGGCAAGUCUGGUGUCAGCCGCCGCGGUAAUACCAGCACCCCGAGUGGUCGGGACGUUUAUUGGGCCUAAAGCAUCCGUAGCCGGUUCUACAAGUCUUCCGUUAAAUCCACCUGCUUAACAGAUGGGCUGCGGAAGAUACUAUAGAGCUAGGAGGCGGGAGAGGCAAGCGGUACUCGAUGGGUAGGGGUAAAAUCCGUUGAUCCAUUGAAGACCACCAGUGGCGAAGGCGGCUUGCCAGAACGCGCUCGACGGUGAGGGAUGAAAGCUGGGGGAGCAAACCGGAUUAGAUACCCGGGUAGUCCCAGCUGUAAACGAUGCAGACUCGGUGAUGAGUUGGCUUAUUGCUAACUCAGUGCCGCAGGGAAGCCGUUAAGUUUGCCGCCUGGGGAGUACGGUCGCAAGACUGAAACUUAAAGAAUUGGCGGGGGAGCA